GUCUUACUAUGUGGGGUUAAGAGGGCC
Molecule: non-coding RNA, 27 nt
Filed under: Rattus norvegicus (Norway rat)
Lineage: Eukaryota; Metazoa; Chordata; Mammalia; Rodentia; Muridae
Source: RNAcentral